CAGAGAGUAGUUUAAAAAAAAAUAUUAAUUUUGGGGAUUAAAGAUGAAGAUAUUUUUCUCUGA
This 63-nucleotide transfer RNA is filed under the name Aparapotamon similium. RNAcentral's name for it is "tRNA-Pro". RNAcentral also lists the same sequence under 1 other name. The record is from RNAcentral. Lineage: Eukaryota; Metazoa; Arthropoda; Malacostraca; Decapoda; Potamidae.